RNAcentral lists this long non-coding RNA (9545 nucleotides) under Glycine max (soybean). Its description in RNAcentral is "long non-coding RNA (GMAX_LNC001869)". Lineage: Eukaryota; Viridiplantae; Streptophyta; Magnoliopsida; Fabales; Fabaceae. The record is from RNAcentral.
UCCUUUGUCCUUUCUAAAAACCCACUUGGUAAAAAUUUCAAAGGGUCCUCAUUUGCAGCCUCAAGGUAUGCAGCACUAACUGAUUCACUUGGUGCUCUCAAAACCCACAAGAACCUUUGACCACUCAAUUCCAAACCCGAAGCUAACUCAUUGAUUUGGUUCUGAGAGAGUGUUCCACCACUUCCGAAAGAAACAUACAACACUGAACUAGGUGGCUGCUUGUCCAACCAUUUUAAACACUUAUCAGACUCGUCAACUUCACUGCUUGACCCUUUUUGUGUAAUGGGUCCAACUGGGUACAAUCUGAUCUUUCCAUUUCCAAACUCUUCCAAUGCUCUUACAGCACCUGAUUCCAUUUCUAAGAAGGUGUUGAUCAAGAUCCCAUCAGUAGUUACCAUUGCCUUGGUAUCUUCAACAAAAUGCUUGUAAAAUUCACUAGAUCGAUCAUGGGAUGGAUCCGGAAGAUCACUCCCCAUGAAUGGUACACAACCUGGUAACCUUAUAGGUUCUGUUAGAUCCUUGUACGCACUUGAAACCUCCUCAUCAAGUUUUGACAUGUGUAGAAGCAGUGACAAUACCAUAGCUGAACUAGGGAAGUAAAAAUAGGACAGGGCAUUGAAUUCCUUAGCAAAUUCCAAUGCUUGAAGUGCAAGAACAUCUACCACCAACGCAGUUAAAGGGACUUUAGAGAACAAGGAUUUCAGCACCUCAUGUAUUGAUGGCAGAGAAUGAGAAAUAUUGAGUUGAAUUAGCUGUCCAAUGUAUCCUCCUUGGGAUAAUUGUUCUAUGCUAACUGGAGGAAGAAAGAUGAAGUCUAUGAAUGAAGGAAGGGUUUUAAGGUAGGCUUUGCAGGAUUCUGUGGAUGACUCAAGUGAAGGAAUGAUGCAGGUCACUUGAAAAUUUGGGUGAAGCUUCACAAGUCGCUUGCUGAACUCAAUUAUUGGAACUAUGUGGCCAAAACCAGGGCUUGAAACAAUAGCUAUGUGAGUUGUUUUUGCCAUGGCAACAGAUUGUAGAUGUUUACCUGCUCACAAUUUCGUGACAGCCGUUUAUUAUGUUUUCUUUAUGACGAAAAUGUUGUCUUGAUCUAUAGCAAAGCACUCCACUGGUUUAUUGCUUUCUAUUUUAUUACAAGCAAUAGGUGUUUACAAAAUUAGCUAAACUUGUUAUUUGUCUGAUACUUUCGUGUGACUUAUUUAUAUUCAAUAAUUACGUAAUGCUAUGUGGCAUUAUUGAUACAUCAAAUAAUUUAGUUUAACUUUUUGUUUUUGAAUUAAAGUCCAAUGAUUUUUUUUAAAAUAUUAUAUUUUUUAUCUUUAGUUUAGUAUUUUAUUAAAAGAUAUUUUUAUCUCUAAUUAAUUUAUAUUUUUUCUAAUUUUAAAUAUAGUCUUUCCUUUCCUGCAUAUAAUCUUUCUUAUCAUCAUCAACACUAGAGCACGAGCACUUUCUGUCUCUGCAUUCUUGUGCAAAAAUUAAGUGUUAUUAAUAUAUUUUUUUUUACCUUUUAAAAAAUAAAAUGCUCUAAUUAUAUAUAAUAAAUUGAUUUCCUAAUUAUUUUUUAUCUAACAUUAGAACAUCUUUUAUCCAACAUUAGAACAUAUAUUUAAUAAAAUUUUGAAAUAUAUAUUUUAUCUUUAUCUUGAUUUUUUAAAACAAGUUAGAUAAGAAAAUAUUAUGCAUUUGACAAGGAAAAUUAUAAAUAUUUUCCUCUCUAAUUUAAAAAAUUAAGAUAUAUAUCAAAAUUUAUUAAAUAUACUAGUUCUAAUUUUGAAUAAAAUAUAUAUCUUGGCGGGAUAUAUAUGUUCAGGUCUAAAAGAGACGAAUUUAUAUUUUUUUAACUCAUUCUUAUUCUUGUUGGAUUUUAUCAUAUUUGGAUAAACUAGUGGCAAACUAGUUAUAUUAUAUCACAUUUUUAUAAUUUUAAUUUACUUAAUUACAUUAAAAUUUUAUAUUUAUAAUUUAUUUUAAUUUAUGUUUUGUCUUGGGAAAAAAAUACUCUAGUUUGGUUCUUAUUAUCUAUCAUCGACAUAAUAUCAUUUCAUAUUAAAGCUUAUAUAUUUUUAUUCUUUAUUCUCUAUCAUCUUUCAUCGACAAAAUAUCAUUGCAUUGAUUUUUUUUCUAUAAAAAAAUUAAUGUCUGAUUUUAUUUUCUUUAUAAUUUGAGUUUUUAUUAGUGUUUUUUAUUUUCUUAAAAAAUAUUUUAAGUCGUCUAUUAUCAAUUUAUCAAAGAUGCAUUAGAUGUUGAUAUGUCACAAUCAACUAACAAUUCAUUAAAAUAAAUAUUUAUGAAAGUAACACAUUAAAAAAUAGUUUAAAACUUUUAGAUUGGUUGUCUAAAAUAAUUUUAUAUUGUAAUUCAAUUAUAAAUAAUUAUUUAUAUGAAUUUUAAAGUAGUUAUUAUAAAAGUUAAAAAAUAUCAUAGAUGAUAAAUUAUGAUUUGAUUACUGUAUAAAAUUUAUACUAUAUGACUUUUUCUUUCUUAAAAAAGCUAUACUACCAAUAGGAUAAUACUUUUUAAUCACAUGUGAUGUUUUUAUUUGAAUAAUAAAAGUCAUGAAAUAUAACAAUUAUUUCAAUCUGAUUAUGUAAAAUAAUAUAAAAAUAUUACAAUACCAGCCAGAUACUGCAUAUGCACUAAUUAAGCAGCAUAUAUAUUAUCUAUUACUACCAACUCCCCUGCAAUUUGUCACUUACUUUGUCUUUAUUGGUCGUAUUUUUGUUUAGAUUAAUGUGGUUAAUCCAAACUCGUUAAGUUUUAUAUUGGUUGUGGACGUGGCUUUCAUCGGAAGCUUUUAUCCUCUCUCACGCAUUUGAAAGGCCCAAUGGCUUGUCAACUUUCCUAAAACCUUUUGCUUUCAAUUCAAAUUUUUUAAGAGGUUAGGUUUUUUUCUUCUGUUUCUGCUUAUAUAUUAUUUUUUGCUUUUAGUCUUUUAUUAUUAUUAUUUGUUUAUGUCAAUCUUCCCAUUAUUUGUCAUUUCCAUUAACCUCUGUUGCAAAAACAUUAAUUAAGUUUUUUUUUUCUGUUGAUAAGGGGGCCUAAAGGCCUCCAUAUAUCUUGGCAAGUUUGGAAUACCCUUUUUUACAUUUUAAAUAUUUAUUUGUAAUUUAUAUUAGUGCGUAAUAAGUUUAAUACGUUAAUUUUUUUCAUCUAAUUUAAUUUCUUGUUAGUUUAUACCGUAACAUUUCAUAUAAUAUUAAAAUAUAUAUUGUCAUAGUGAAAAUAAAGAAAGUUCAAUAAGCCUACACUGAACAUGACAUGUAAUGUUAAUUAAGGACUGUAUAGCUAUGCUCACCACCAAUUAACUUGGAAAGCUUUAUAUUUUAAUUUAUUCACUAGAUUGUGACUUGUAUGAGCACCAAGCUUUAGGUGGUUCAGCAAGUUUGUUAAUUUGAAUGAAUCCAUCAUUUACUGGGUAAUUAACAAUAUUAAUAAAUAAUAACACACAUGUAUCUACUACCAAGUUGCAUGCAACAUGUAAGAUGAUGACAAUGAAUUAUGAAAUAGCUGUCUAAAGAAAUCUUGAAACAGAAAAUUGUGAUAUUACUGAUAUGACAAAUUGUACAAUUGUGAACCGAGUUCUUCGCCAACAUAAAUAGCCAAAGGGCUGUAUCUAAACUUAGAAACCUAAAGAUGAAGAUAGAAGGAAACGAACUAAAAACAUAAAAACUAUCCUAUCAGUAUCAGUUAUAAUAAAAUGCUAACUAACUAUAAUUACUAGCUAGAUAGAGUUCUUGAUAUAACUCAAUAUGUAAUUUCAUUACUCUCGAGUGAUUGAGCAUGCAAAAAAAGGCUGGGUCAGGUUUAUUAUUAGGUGUCUCUAUAUCAUACAUUUUGUCAUCUUUCUUAGUUUAUUCUCUUUGGGAGUUUUAGUUUUUUUUUUGUUAUAUCACAUGUAUCCUUCACGGAAAAUAAUUCUAUUCGAGUCGUGGAAUUUGAGGUACUCUAAAAUAAUAACAAAUGCCUUAAAAUUUUAUUAAUCCGAUCUUUCUCAGGCACUUUCCCCCCUCUUUUCUUGAAUACCUUUUCUUCUUGUUAAAUGAUUAUGAAUAGGAGUAUUCCAUUGGAAAUAGUAGUAUUUCAUAAACAGAACAAAAAUCUUUCAAAAAUUUAACAAUUAGAAAAGGAAAGGAGGUAGUAUAUUUAAUUUAGGUUCCGAAAUUAAUGACAUUAAAACUUCUUUUAUUUAUUACAAAAGGAGGAAAAAGAGGACAUAUCCUUCAUUGAAUGAAUUUUAUUUUUGUACUCAUAAAAAAAAUGAUCAAAGUUGGGUGCACCUUUUUGGUUUUAUCUAUUUCUUAGUUCUUACUUUCUACAAAUCUGUCUAUAUAAUGUUUAAAAAAAACAAGUAGAGAAAUAACCCCGAGGACAUGUUGAUCAUAUUCAUAAUUUAAUUUUCUGUUUAUGUGUAACAAGUAGAAAACUCUAUAUUGUCGGUUGCUGCACUUUGUAUUUUCUUGAUUCAGUUUUUAUACUAGUUAAGUUUGGUAUAUUGAUUAUACUUUCAUAUGAGUUCCUUGUUGUGAAGGGGGUUAAACUUUUAUUUUAUCAAAGAAGUAGUGUGGAUUGCCCAGCUUAUUUAUGGUAUAUGUAUCAAGGAGAAUCUCUGUUACAGAUGUUUUUAUCAGUUGCUGUCACUUGUCUAAAUUGGAAUUAUCUUUAUGUUGGGAUUCCAAGCAAUUCAUUUAUCAUCAUUGAGUUUCCCUUCAGUCUUAGCAUUUAUGCAGGAUGUCAGCUUUGAAGUUAUAUUGGGUUGUAACAAUUGAGGUUUAUUGGCUCUUCUUCUUAUCCACAUUCAUCACCUCAACAUACUAAUGAAAGUGAAACGACGAAGAUAGUGAUUAGUUUUUUUUUUUUUUUGGGUCUGCAAAAUAUGUAUAUAUUUAUAUUAAUAAUAUACCAAGAGAUACAAGAAGUAUCUCUCAGAUUGGGGUACACAUGUGUCUACAAACGUUACAGCUCAACAUAUUAAUCAUAAUAAUCACAAUAAAUAUGGACGAUGUCUUGCAUAAUCCUAGAAAUAGAAUGAUCAAAAUUCACGUUGUUGAAUACCUUAUUUUUUCCUGAAUCUCAUUAAAUUCCAGCUGACCGAUCCAUAUAUAACCCACGCAGCUUCUCCAAAAUUGUAAUUCGCAUUCCAAGAUCCGCAAUAACUUAACCAUGAAAAGCACACAAAAUACAACUACUUAAAAACAAUUUAAGAAAAAAGCUAUUUACCUAAACCUCACUCGAAUUUUCCCAGUGACGAGCCAAUUGAGACAGGGUUUGUGUUGAAGAGCCAUCUUUCAGUGCACUAGCAGAGAAAUCUUUUAAACUCAUCAUUCUUUCACGUAUUCCUUUACCUUCUUCCCCUUCCAUCAGACACUUUAUCACCUUCGCAAUUUCCUCCUUCUCUACUAUGCCAUCCUCGUUAAAUUUUGGCCUCAACGUCACUUUUAGUCCAUCGGUUAACAUAACUGCAUUCAUUCUCUGCUCAACAAAGAGUGGCCAUGUUAUUAUAGGCACUCCCUCUUGCACACUCUCCAGAGUUGAGUUCCAACCACAAUGGCUUAGGAACCCUCCAACUGAAUUGUGACUAAGAACCUGAACCUGAGGUGCCCAUGAUGGCACAACCAAACCUUUCUCCUUUGUCCUUUCUAAAAACCCACUUGGUAAAAAUUUCAAAGGGUCCUCCUUUUCAGCCUCAAGGUAAGCAGCAUUAACUGAAUUACUUGGUGCUCUCAAAACCCACAAGAACCUUUGACCACUCAAUUCCAAACCCGAGGCUAACUCAUUGAUUUGGUUCUGAGAGAGUGUUCCACCACUUCCAAAAGAAACAUACAACACUGAACAAGGUGGCUGCUUGUCCAACCAACUCAAACACUAACCAGACUCAUCAACCUCAUCUCUUGACCCUUUUUGCGUAAUGGGUCCAACUGGGUACAGUCUGAUCUUCCCAUUUUCAUACUCUUCCAAUGCUCUUAUAGCACCUGAUUCCAUUUCUAAGAAGGUGUUGAUAAUUAUCCCAUCUGCGGUAGCUAUUGCUUUGGUACGUUCAAGAAAAGACUUGUAAGCUUCGCUUGAUCUACUUUGGGUUGAAGCUGGAAGAUCAACCCCCAAAAUUGGUACACAACCUUGUAACUUUAUAGGUUCUGUUAGGUCCUUGUACUCACCUGAAACUUCCUCAUCAAGUUUUGGCAUGUGUAGAGCCAGUGACAGUACCAUGGCUGAACAAGGGGUGUAAAAAUAGGAUAGUGCGUUGAACUCCUUUGCGAAUUCCAAGGUUGGAAAUGCAAAAGUAUCUGCAACCAACGCUGUUAAAGGAAAUUUAGAGGACAAGGAUUUCAGGGCCUCAUGUAUUGAUGGCAGAGAAAGAGUAAUAGUGACUGCAGGGUUUACUCCUUGGGGUAAUUGUUGUUUGUUAAUGGGAGGAAGUAAGAUGGUGUCUAUGUUUGAAGGAAGAGUCUUAAGGUAGGCUUUGGAGGAUUCUGGGGGUGACCCAAAUGAGGGAAUGAUGCAGUUGACAUGAAAAUUUGGGUGAAGCUUGAUAAGUAGCUUGCUGAACUCAACUAUAGGGACUAGGUGGCUGAAACCAGGACCUGAAACAAUAGCUAUGUGAGUUGUUUUUGCCAUGAAAACAGAACAUAUACUAUAGAUAUGUUUGCCUCCAAAAUGUGGUGAAAGCUAAAUAUGAUGCUCUCUUUAUGAUAAAAAAAAAAGGUUGUUUUUUGUUAUCCAAUUUAUCCCCAUAAUAGGAAUUUGAAAGAAGCAUACCUUGGUUUGACUUUUUUUAUUUGAAUGUUAUUUACAAAUAGCUUUCAAGGAGGAGGAUCCGAUGAUGUAAGUGCUUAGGCAAACUUGGUUUGACUUUCUUUAUUUACUAGUUUUUCUUUCUAGUUUGUUUUUUUUAUUUUCUAUGUUUGGAAUGAGGGUGAAAAGAAAAGAAAAAAAAAUUUAAAAUUUGAAUUAAAAGAAAAAAUUUAAAAUUUAUGGUUGUAUAAGUCAAUUUUUUUUUCUUUUUUCUUUUCAUUUACUCUUAAUCUAAAUAAAAGAAAAUAUUUGGUUAUAUAUGUUUUUCUUUUUCUUUAUUUUCUUUUCUUUCUAUCAUUAAUAUGUGUUGAAUUGUAUAGAAGAGAAAAAAAUUUAAAAAAUAUUUAAAUUAAAGUGAAAAAAAUGAGACCCAUAUUAAUUUUUUUAAAAUUUCUUCUCAAACAGUGAUUUUCUCUAUUCAAUCAAACCAUCCUUCGGCUUGACGUGAUUUACCCAAACUUAUUUGGGGUUUAUUGGUUGUGGACUUAGCUUUCAUCCAGAAAGUUUGCUUUGAUUCUUCCUCUUACAUUCGUAAGGUCCAAUGACUUUUAGUGAGUUAAUUUCCUAUAACAUUUUUGCUUUCCGUUCAAAUUCUUUAAUUCCUAUUGUUUCUUUUUUAUACUGGUUUAGUCUUUUAGUUUUUCAACUCUCACUCACUUAAAUAAAUGAAAACAAUUGAAGUUUUGAAACAUACGUUAUCAAUUUAAUGGUCAGUAUAUCUUUUCAAGUUUGAAAUAGAUAUUUUUAAGAGCACUGCUCCUUUUUUUAAAAAAACAAACAAACAGAAGAACUACUAUUAUAUAUUAUACUAGAGAGUGUAACCCAUAACAUACACGGUAAAUAUUGUUUAUCAAUAUUCAUAUUUCUUAUCUCGUGUAAAAUAAGUGCUUAUAAUUUUAGGAUAAAGAUUACUAAGUCUUAUUUGGGUUAUUAUCAUUAAGGUUUGAAUUAGUAUUUUUUGGUCUUGGAUAAGACACCAUGCAUAUUUUUCAAUUAACUAUGUUAACGAUUAAUUUCAUCAGUUAUAAGUAUAUGUCGUUAAUCUAAGAUAAUUUUGCAUACUAAAAAAAUUAAAGAUAAUCUUUUUGACUAAUAUUUUUUAUUUAUUUGUGAAAAUUGGUUCUUAUGCUAUUCAAUAUUUCUGUGCUGAAAAUGGUUAUAUCACGUGAUUAAAAUACUAUCCAUUUAUUGUCAAAUUAAAAAAUUAUUCAUAUUCUCUAUGAUUUCAAUUAAAUUUAUAAUCAUCAAUUUAAAAUGAAGUUAUAAGUAUAAGAAUUGAUGGUAAAAUAUCGAAUCAGCCAGGUGGUCGGAAGGGUAGCUUACAGCUUUCCACUUUGCAGGACGUAAUAAUUAUUUUUGGCUCACGUAAUAACUAGUUGUUUUAUACUAAUAUGAUCUAUGAAUUAUAUCUUAAUGGUGCAGUGUGGAUGAUUAGUCAUGUAUAAUGCAUGUUACAAUAAGAAUUCUAAUACUAUAUUGAACUUAAUUAAAUUAAUUAAUUUAAACUUAAAUAUGUUAAAAAAAUUAUAUAUAUUUAACUUCUUUUAAUAAAUUUUUUAUUAUUUUGAGUCUUUUAUAUUUUAAAAAAUUUAUUUCAGAUUUUUAUGGAUUAUUGAAAUGAUUGUUGAAAUGAUGAUAACUUAAAUAAUUAUUAAAAUAACUUCGACUAAUCAUCCAUUUUAAAAAAUGAAAAAUAAUAAAAUAUAAACAUAUGACCCCACUCUAAUUUUUAAAACUUUUUACUCAAAUAAAUAAAAGGAAUUAAAUCAAACACAACCUUAAAACCUAAAAUGUACAAAUAAACAAGGAGUGGACGUCAAAUUUUCUUUAGAGACAAACGUAAAAUUCAACUUGAAUAUCAAUCAACAUCUCUUUCAUGUGUCAACGAUACCCUACAUCUCCCGAAACCUCAAGUACCCCACAAACAAAACAAAUUAAGAAAAACACACAAAACACAACUUCGUAAAGCAAUUUAAAUGAAAAACUAUUUUCCUAAACCUGACUCGAAUUUUCCCAGUGACGAGCCAAUUGAGAUAGGGUUUGUGUUGAAGAGCCAUCUUUCAGUGCAUUAGCAGAGAAAUCUUUUAAAUUCAUCAUUCUUUCACGCAUUCCUUUACCUUCUUCCCCUUCCAUCAGACACUUUAUCACCCUCGCAAUUUCCUCCUUCUCCACUAUGCCAUCCUCGUUAAAUUUUGUCCUCAACGCCACUUUAAGUCCAUCGGUUAACAUAACUGCAUUCAUUCUCUGCUCAGCAAAGAGUGGCCAUGUUAUUAUAGGCACUCCCUCUUGCACACUCUCCAAUGUCGAGUUCCAACCACAAUGGCUCAGGAACCCUCCAACUGAAUUGUGACUAAGAACCUGAACCUGAGGUGCCCAUGAUGGCACAACCAAACCUUUCUCCUUUGUCCUUUCUAAAAACCCACUUGGUAAAAAUUUCAAAGGGUCCUCCUUUUCAGCCUCAAGGUAAGCAGCAUUAACUGAAUUACUUGGUGCUCUCAAAACCCACAAGAACCUUUGACCACUCAAUUCCAAACCCGAGGCUAACUCAUUGAUUUGGUUCUGAGAGAGUGUUCCACCACUUCCAAAAGAAACAUACAACACUGAACAAGGUGGCUGCUUGUCCAACCAACUCAAACACUUACCAGACUCAUCAACCUCAUCUCUUGACCCUUUUUGUGUAAUGGGUCCAACUGGGUACAGUCUGAUCUUCCCAUUUUCAUACUCUUCCAAUGCUCUUAUAGCACCUGAUUCCAUUUCUA